RNAcentral lists this transfer RNA (66 nucleotides) under Balta maculata. RNAcentral's name for it is "tRNA-Pro". The record is from RNAcentral. Lineage: Eukaryota; Metazoa; Arthropoda; Insecta; Blattodea; Pseudophyllodromiidae.
CAAGGGGUAGUUUAUUUAAAAUAUUAAUUUUGGAGGUUAAUGAAAAGUUUAUUAAUUUUCCCUUGA